GCUUGUGAGGGCAAUCUGGCUGAGACAUCCAUCACCUCAUUGAUCCCCAGGGUUGAUCUGGCUGGUGAGGCGGAUAUCCCCUUCCUCCCUCACUGCCUCAUGUGAGUCCCUCCCAAUGUCAUGUACUCUGUCUAAGAGGAUGACCUUCCCAGUGAAGCACCGUUCUUUGGUCUGGGGUAGAUGAGAAGCUGUGCUCCACCGCUAGAGCCUCCAAGCAAGCUCUCAAGGUCAAUUUUUAGGACAACUUAGGGUAAUCCAGGCUUCCAAGACUUCAGACAUCCAAACAAAAUUGUGCAUGUGGCAGUCUGACUUUCUUU
Vulpes vulpes (red fox) is the source of this 317-nucleotide unclassified non-coding RNA. Its record names the gene 7SK. It matches the Rfam family "7SK RNA". From Rfam's summary of the family: 7SK was discovered as an abundant small nuclear RNA in the mid-70s but a possible function has only recently been suggested. The record is from Ensembl. Lineage: Eukaryota; Metazoa; Chordata; Mammalia; Carnivora; Canidae.